Galleria mellonella (greater wax moth) is the source of this 455-nucleotide long non-coding RNA. RefSeq lists it as uncharacterized. Lineage: Eukaryota; Metazoa; Arthropoda; Insecta; Lepidoptera; Pyralidae. The record is from RefSeq and is a predicted model, not a curated record. The transcript has 3 exons.
CACGCUUAAUAAUAAAUAGAAAUAACUCAAAAAUUGGGAAAAUCUAGUUUUUGUCAUAAAACAUAAUAAUAAUGCGAAAAGAAUAGGUAGAGUUCGACAGCCUUUCAAUUUUCAUGAAUAAGACGGAGAUAAAAGAUCGAUCGCCUCUUUCAUUCCAAACGGGUUGGCAAUGUUGUCUGUCAAAAAGCGAUGCAUUUAGUGAUGAAUCAAUCUUGGUAAAAAGUAGACGUACGUUUUUGUGGCGUAAAGUAGAAUAUUGCUGUUUACAAUUAAAACGCUCUGCGACUAUGCGAAAAUGUUUUCAAGAGGCCGAAAGAUUUUAGGUCUACUAAAUAUCCCAGCAAUCGAAAAUGAGGGAGAAUUAGUGUCAAGUGUUGGACAUUGAUUCAGAUUUAUUGAAUUCACAAGAUCAAGAUAAUACCUCGUUAAACAUAGAAAAUAUUAAUCAUUCGAAC